UUUAACUAUAUUCAAAUACAUUAUAUAUAUAUAUAAUGUGUUUUUGUGCGUAGAACACAAAUCUGGCAGAAAAAAGUGUCGCUCUGCCCCGCGAGACAAGAUAUUAAUCGUUAAAGUUCACUAUUUAACAAGUUAUGAAACCUGUUAUACCGACGAAAUGUUGCGACUGAACAUGGUUCCGUGGUUCCGUAGCCAUAUAUUUUGACAUAUUUUGACUGAAAGAGAAUUACCCAGCAAACACAGAACAUAGCAGCAACAUUGCGGCAAUGUUAUAACAUUGUAGCAACAUCACAGCAAUAUUACAACAUGUUCUGUGUUUGCUGGGUAAUAUAUUCUCAGAAAACGCGUGAGCGGGGAGGGGCGGAGCCCCUCACCGUAAUUUUUUCUAACCUAAUCUAACUCACGCAUUUUAAAGUCGAUAUUUGGUUAAUGUAUAUAUAAUGUACUUAAAUAUAGUUAAAAGCAUUAAAAUUAACUAAUAAAACUCGACGUGCAUUAGAUGAGUUGUAGAAAUUUUGAAACAUUUAAUUACAAAAUACAUAAGAAUACGUAGUUUCAAAAAAAUCAGAGGUAAGUCAUUUUCGGAACUUUAUCCUAAUUUUUUUUUCUUAUAAAUAUUUUAUAAAUAUUUUGUGCUACCUGGAAAAGCCCUGUUCCAAUACUGACGACGUGACGACUGAUGUACAUACGUAUCGCAUUUUUGUGCAUACCGAAAUUUUAUAUCACAAUACGUGAUGGACAAGGUUAAAUUCCCCGUAUUAGUGGAUCAUUUAUUAAUAAAAAUAAGGCUACUGUUAUCCAUGUUUUAUUGUCCAUUGCGACCAUAGUUUCAAUAACAUCCCUUUUCGUUUCACAUCAAACGCAUCAAAAGCCGUUCCGUUUCCAAGAACGCAUAGGCGCAUUAACGAAAACGGAACGAUAUCAAUGCGCGCAGCGCAUUGGCUGUGAUCUAUGCACUCAAUGCGUGAAACGGAAUGGACCCUAUAUAAGCAGAGAGAAGCCUGAGAGCGGCCACCACGGCCUUUUUCGUGCGACCGAAAUGUGAAUGUAGCAUCAGCGCCAAACGUGGAUGUACCACAUCCGCUUUUCCUGUCAAUAAAAUCGUUUGUUUGGUGUGCGUCCGUGCUACAUUCACGUUUAGGCCAAAGGGUAACACAUAUGCGCACAAUGCUGGUUGUGUUCCGUGCUAUGUGGACAAAUGUCGGUAACAGAGUUAUUGAUUUUUCGUAAUGUGUGCGAGCGAGAAGAUACAAGGGCGAACGAGACAUUCAAUAAGAACAAGCGAAACAGUAAAAGGAGCGAGCGAGAGAUCAACAAGAAUGAAUGAGAUAGUAAUAGAAGUGAGCGAGAUGAGAAAAAUAGCAGCAUGCUGAAGCCCGAGAAUCGGAUCGAGCUUCCUUGCAUGUUACUAUUCUCAUCUCGCUCGCCUCUCUUACUGUCUUGCUCACUCGCGUAAUGCGAUAUAUACAUAUAUUAUGUUUUUGAGACCGACACCUUUUUUAGUUAGAAAAUUUAGAAUAUUAACAAAUUAUUAUCUUUAAUAUGAAGAGGCACGGUAGUGCCUCGCGCAAAGUGUACGUGCGCGAGGCACUGCCGUGCCUCUAUUUACGCGAGACGCCGUUUGCGAAAUUCCGUAGAUUAUCAGAUCUCAAUAACGGCUAAAUCGAUUGAUUUCUAUAUAAGCUUAAUGGAUAGCUUGCAUCCGAUUUAUAUAACAAAAGUGUGUUUAUUUUUCCGCUACGUGACUUACGAGCGAAGAUAUUGCGAUUUAAAAUUUCGCAUCAAGAGUAAAUUUAAGAAACAUCGUCGUCAUUAUUAUUGUCGUCGCCCGGGACAGAUGGUGGGGAUUUGUACUUUUGCUUUUCGCGCGAUAAAUGGUUACGGACGUGACAGGGGCACGAGAAUUGACAGAAAGUGCAUGUUCGUAUCCGCGAAAGAACAGAACGAGAAAUUACGUGUCUUGAUUGGCGGUCGAAUCCGUCUGUUGAGGUAAUGAUUAAUCCGCGGCAAAUUUCACGGCGGUGAUGUGACAGUUCGAGAUUAGUGACGUGUUGACAGUGAAAGGCAUAUAAUUAUUACAUUUCCAAAAGUAUCCCACCCACGGAUCUCAUGGUUCACCCUGAUUUGCAUUCAAUAGAGGUAUCAAAAAUAAAUGUAUCCUAAAAAUUCUGCAAAUAUUUAAUAAAUAAUUCAUUUCAUAAUCGUUUAGGGACCGCUACGUGAUGUCUAUCGACAUGUACGCAGAAGGACAUAUACAACUUACUGCGUUACUGCGUUAUCAUUGAUAAUGCUUUACGGCGGCAGCAGGUUCUCGCAAUGAUCUACAAGAAAUUAUUACACAUUGCUUCGUCUUGAAAAAUGUAUGCGUUUUCAGUAAUUUUUUUGUUAUGCGGAAAGAAGAAACUAUAAAUUAUAUCUUCAUAAAUAAUUAAACCGUUUUAGAUAACCUUGGCAAUUAUUACGCUCACUCUGACUAUUAUGAUCACAGAAUUGGGCAGUUUUACAUUCUUUGACAUGACAUGCAGUAGCAAUGAACCUGAAGCUGACGGCUGCGAUGUAGCAGCCGACCAGGGACGAAUACGGGCCCUCCUCCUUAAGAUAAUGACAACUAUCUCAAAUCAGAACCUUUUUUUUUAAAUUUUGUAUACAAGCUUUCUAAUGAUGUAAAAGAAGAAUCCAAUACGAGCAGCCGCGACACAAUUGCAAAUAUUAAGUUAAAUAAACAAUUAAAGUUAAAAAAUUAUGAGUAUUUUGGCAAAAUUUGCUAUAACAUCUGACAGCAAGUUGCGAUCGACUUAAAAUUUUAUAUACAAGCUUUCUAAUGAUGUAGAAGAAAAAUCCAAACGAGCAGCCGUGAUACAAUUGCAAAUAUUAAGUUAAAUAAACAAUUAAAGCAGUUUCAUUAGAAAGCUUAUGUAUAAAAUUUUAAGUCGAUCGCAACUUGCUGUCGCUACAGCAAAUUUUGCCGAAUUACCCAUAAUUUUUCAACUUUAAUUGUUUAUUUAACUUAAUAUUUGCAAUUGUGUCGCGGCUGCUCGUAUUGGAAUCUUCUUCUACAUCAUUAGAAAGCUUGUAUACAAAAUUUAAAAAAAAGGUUCUGAUCUGAGAUAGUUGUCAUUAGGUUUGUUUUUAUUCCUGAAAGACAACGAUACAGAGUCAGAAGUCAUGGAGGAAAAGAAGCGAGUCGAAGAAUACAUGAAACGUAAAAAAUAGAAGAUAAAAAUUAUUUAUUACAUUACUUGCGUUAAAACUUAUAAAUUUAGAAUGCAAAUACUUUUUUAUUAUUAAAUAAUUUUUACUUUUACUUAAAAUCUCAAUAUUUAUAUAUUGCAAAAAGAAAUGAGAUACCUGUCACUACAAAAUAAGUGAAAUCCCCACAAAA
This 3382-nucleotide long non-coding RNA is filed under the name Monomorium pharaonis (pharaoh ant). Its description in RNAcentral is "uncharacterized LOC118646986". The record is from RNAcentral. Lineage: Eukaryota; Metazoa; Arthropoda; Insecta; Hymenoptera; Formicidae.